RNAcentral lists this ribosomal RNA (529 nucleotides) under Salmonella enterica subsp. enterica serovar Anatum. RNAcentral describes it as "partial 23S ribosomal RNA". It matches the Rfam family "Bacterial large subunit ribosomal RNA", at positions 593 to 1122 of the family's 2925-position model. The record is from RNAcentral. Lineage: Bacteria; Pseudomonadati; Pseudomonadota; Gammaproteobacteria; Enterobacterales; Enterobacteriaceae.
GUGACUGCGUACCUUUUGUAUAAUGGGUCAGCGACUUAUAUUCUGUAGCAAGGUUAACCGAAUAGGGGAGCCGGAGGGAAACCGAGUCUUAAUUGGGCGUUAAGUUGCAGGGUAUAGACCCGAAACCCGGUGAUCUAGCCAUGGGCAGGUUGAAGGUUGGGUAACACUAACUGGAGGACCGAACCGACUAAUGUUGAAAAAUUAGCGGAUGACCUGUGGCUGGGGGUGAAAGGCCAAUCAAACCGGGAGAUAGCUGGUUCUCCCCGAAAGCUAUUUAGGUAGCGCCUCGUGAAUUCAUCUCCGGGGGUAGAGCACUGUUUCGGCUAGGGGGCCAUCCCGGCUUACCAACCCGAUGCAAACUGCGAAUACCGGAGAAUGUUAUCACGGGAGACACACGGCGGGUGCUAACGUCCGUCGUGAAGAGGGAAACAACCCAGACCGCCAGCUAAGGUCCCAAAGUCAUGGUUAAGUGGGAAACGAUGUGGGAAGGCCCAGACAGCCAGGAUGUUGGCUUAGAAGCAGCCAUCAU